UUGGAGGGCAAGUCUGGUGCCAGCAGCCGCGGUAAUUCCAGCUCCAAUAGCGUAUAUUAAAGUUGUUGCAGUUAAAAAGCUCGUAGUUGAAUUUCGAGACCGGCUUAUUGGUCGUGCUAUUGUACGUACUGGUAUAAUCGGUUUCUCCUUUCUGACGAACUAUAAUGCCAUUAAUUUGGUGUUUUAGGGAAUCAGGACUGUUACUUUGAAAAAAUUAGAGUGUUUAAAGCAGGCUCACGCUUGAAUACAUUAGCAUGGAAUAACGAAAUAGGACGUUUGAUUUUAUUUUGUUGGUUUCUAGGAUCGACGUAAUGAUUAAUAGGGAUAGUUGGGGGCAUUAGUAUUCAAUUGUCAGAGGUGAAAUUCUUGGAUUUAUUGAAGACUAACUACUGCGAAAGCAUUUGCCAAGGAUGUUUUCAUUAAUCAAGAACGAAAGUUAGGGGAUCGAAGACGAUCAGAUACCGUCGUAGUCUUAACCAUAAACUAUGCCGACUAGGGAUCGGAUGAUGUUAAUUUUUAAUGACUCAUUCGGCGCCUACGGGAAC
Molecule: ribosomal RNA, 545 nt
Filed under: uncultured Glomeraceae
Lineage: Eukaryota; Fungi; Glomeromycota; Glomeromycetes; Glomerales; Glomeraceae
Description: SSU rRNA
Rfam family: Eukaryotic small subunit ribosomal RNA
Source: RNAcentral